This 361-nucleotide long non-coding RNA is filed under the name Homo sapiens (human). RNAcentral's name for it is "HSALNT0251839". Lineage: Eukaryota; Metazoa; Chordata; Mammalia; Primates; Hominidae. The record is from RNAcentral.
UUCACGGUAAGAGAACCUUCUCCUGAUGCUGUGGGCACUAAUCGAGUAAUAAAGGGAACGGAACCUUCGGUGGCACUUACCAGAUUCCAGGCAGGAAGAGCUCGUCUGAAGUGGGGAGCGGAGAGAGAGCAAAUUCAAAUGUGGGGAACACGGAAGUGCCUCAUCAGAGGCAGCAGAGCCAAUGACUAUAGGAGGAACUUCGUGUAUUCAAGAGACACAAAAAAGCAAUUCAAACCACAGCCCCACAAUGCUGCCCUUGCAACAAAACAACACCAGGGAAGUUAUGAUAACAGCCAACUUGCCAUGAGACGUGUGUAUACCUGGCUUGGCCCAGGUGACCCUGGAGCCUCAGGGAUCCCUC